GGCCCAAUGGCCUAAUGGAUAAGACAUCAGUCUUUGGAGCUGCAGUUGUGGGUUUGAGUCCCAUGUGGGUUG
This 72-nucleotide transfer RNA is filed under the name Astyanax mexicanus (Mexican tetra). It matches the Rfam family "tRNA". Rfam says of the family: Transfer RNA (tRNA) molecules are approximately 80 nucleotides in length. Their secondary structure includes four short double-helical elements and three loops (D, anti-codon, and T loops). Further hydrogen bonds mediate the characteristic L-shaped molecular structure. tRNAs have two regions of fundamental functional importance: the anti-codon, which is responsible for specific mRNA codon recognition, and the 3' end, to which the tRNAs corresponding amino acid is attached (by aminoacyl-tRNA synthetases). tRNAs cope with the degeneracy of the genetic code in two manners: having more than one tRNA (with a specific anti-codon) for a particular amino acid; and 'wobble' base-pairing, i.e. permitting non-standard base-pairing at the 3rd anti-codon position. Lineage: Eukaryota; Metazoa; Chordata; Actinopteri; Characiformes; Acestrorhamphidae. The record is from Rfam by way of RNAcentral.